GUAGGUGGCAAGCGUUGUCCGGAAUUAUUGGGCGUAAAGCGCGCGCAGGCGGUUCUUUAAGUCUGAUGUGAAAGCCCACGGGCUCAACCGUGGAGGGUCAUUGGAAACUGGAGAACUUGAGUACAGAAGAGGAAAGCGGAAUUCCACGUGUAGCGGUGAAAUGCGUAGAGAUGUGGAGGAACACCAGCGGCGAAGGCGGCUUCUGGUCUGUAACUGACGCUGAGGCGCGAAAGCGUGGGGAGCAAACAGGAUUAGAUACCCUGGUAGUCCACGCCGUAAACGAUGAGUGCUAAGUGUUAGGGGGUUUCCGCCCCUUAGUGCUGCAGCUAACGCAUUAAGCACUCCGCCUGGGGAGUACGACCGCAAGGUUG
RNAcentral lists this ribosomal RNA (371 nucleotides) under uncultured organism. RNAcentral's name for it is "partial 16S ribosomal RNA". It matches the Rfam family "Bacterial small subunit ribosomal RNA", at positions 527 to 896 of the family's 1533-position model. The record is from RNAcentral.